UACGUAGGGGGCAAGCGUUGUCCGGAUUUAUUGGGCGUAAAGAGCGUGUAGGCGGCCAGACAGGUCAGCUGUGAAAACUCGAGGCUCAACCUCGAGACGUCGGUUGAAACCGUCUGGCUAGAGUCCGGAAGAGGAGAGUGGAAUUCCUGGUGUAGCGGUGAAAUGCGUAGAUAUCUGGAGGAACACCGGUGGCGAAGGCGGCAUCCUGGACCGGUAUUGACGCUGAGGCGCGAAAGCUAGGGGAGCAAACGGG
This 253-nucleotide ribosomal RNA is filed under the name uncultured bacterium. Its description in RNAcentral is "partial 16S ribosomal RNA". It matches the Rfam family "Bacterial small subunit ribosomal RNA", at positions 524 to 776 of the family's 1533-position model. The record is from RNAcentral.